AGGAAAAUGAGAGUACUCCUAAACAUUUUUAAAGAAAAAAAACACUGGUUCCAUCCAUAAAACACACACACACACACACAGUGCUUUAAAAAAAAAUGUUUAGGGGUACUCUCAUUUUGAC
Molecule: non-coding RNA, 121 nt
Organism: Podarcis lilfordi (Lilford's wall lizard)
Lineage: Eukaryota; Metazoa; Chordata; Lepidosauria; Squamata; Lacertidae
Source: the annotation of a GenBank genome assembly